Melanotaenia boesemani (Boeseman's rainbowfish) is the source of this 349-nucleotide long non-coding RNA. RefSeq lists it as uncharacterized. NCBI's taxonomy places the organism in Eukaryota, Metazoa, Chordata, Actinopteri, Atheriniformes, Melanotaeniidae. The transcript is spliced from 4 exons. The record is from RefSeq and is a predicted model, not a curated record.
CUGGAUCCCUGCACUCCCAGCAUCUGUGCACGCGCACACACGCACGCACGCACACACACACACACACACUUGUUUUGAGGAAAUUAACCCAUGACUGGACCCUCCUUCAUUCUCUCUGUUGCUGCAGGAAUAUAAAAAGUUUUGGUCCACCGAACCAGCGGUCCACCGAACCAGCGGUCCAACGAACCAGCGGUCCACCGAACCAACAGUCCACCGAACCAGCGGUCCACCGAACCAACAGUCCAGAGGACCAGCGGUCCAACGAACCAACGGUCCACCGAACCAGCGGUCCAACGAACCAGCGGUCCACCGAACCAACAGUCCAGAGGACCAGUGGUCCAACGAACCA